CGACCGGGUGAGUAAGACGUAGACGACCGACCCUGAAGCGGGGGACAACAUGCCGAAAGGGAUGCUAAUACCGCAUAAUAUCUAGCGUAUCGAGCGCUAGAAGAAAGUAGCAAUACACUUUAGGGAGGGUCUGCGGCCCAUCAGGUAGUUGGCGGGGUAACGGCCCACCAAGCUAAUGACGGGUAGGGGGUGUGAGAGCAUGACCCCCCACACUGGCACUGAGAACGGGCCAG
RNAcentral lists this ribosomal RNA (233 nucleotides) under uncultured bacterium. Its description in RNAcentral is "partial 16S ribosomal RNA". It matches the Rfam family "Bacterial small subunit ribosomal RNA", at positions 99 to 334 of the family's 1533-position model. The record is from RNAcentral.